CCUACGGAUGGCAGCAGUGAGGAAUAUUGGUCAAUGGACGGAAGUCUGAACCAGCCAAGUCGCGUGAAGGAUGACGGCCCUAUGGGUUGUAAACUUCUUUUGUAUGAGAAUAAAACUGAAUAUGCAUACCCUCUUGUAUGUACCAUACGAAUAAGGAUCGGCUAACUCCGUGCCAGCAGCCGCGGUAAUACGGAGGAUCCGAGCGUUAUCCGGAUUUAUUGGGUUUAAAGGGUGCGUAGGCGGAUUGAUAAGUUAGAGGUGAAAGUUCCGGGCUUAACCCGAGAACUGCAUUUAAUACUGUUAGUCUAGAGUACAGUAGAGGUGGGCGGAAUGUAUGGUGUAGCGGUGAAAUGCUUAGAGAUCAUGAAGAACUCCGAUUGCGAAGGCAGCUCACUGGUCUGCAACUGACGCUGAUGCACGAAAGUGUGGGUAGCAAACAGGAUUAGAUACCCUAGUAGUC
RNAcentral lists this ribosomal RNA (460 nucleotides) under uncultured bacterium. RNAcentral describes it as "partial 16S ribosomal RNA". It matches the Rfam family "Bacterial small subunit ribosomal RNA", at positions 338 to 795 of the family's 1533-position model. The record is from RNAcentral.